This 439-nucleotide ribosomal RNA is filed under the name uncultured bacterium. Its description in RNAcentral is "partial 16S ribosomal RNA". It matches the Rfam family "Bacterial small subunit ribosomal RNA", at positions 338 to 795 of the family's 1533-position model. The record is from RNAcentral.
CCUACGGGUGGCAGCAGUAGGGAAUAUUGCUCAAUGGGGGAAACCCUGAAGCAGCAACGCCGCGUGGAGGAUGAAGGUUUUCGGAUUGUAAACUCCUUUUGUUAGAGAAGAUAAUGACGGUAUCUAACGAAUACUCACCGGCUAACUCCGUUCCAGCGGCCGCGGUAAUACGGAGGAUGCGAGCGUUAUCCGGAUUUAUUGGGUUUAAGGGGUGCGCAGGCGGUCUGUUAAGUCAGCGGUCAAAGCCCGGGGCUCAACCCCGGCCCGCCGUUGACACUGGCAGUCUCGAGUUGGAGAGAAGUAGGCGGAAUGCGCGGUGGAGCGGUGAAAUGCAUAGAUAUCACGCAGAACUCCGAUUGCGAAGGCAGCAUACCGGCGCGCAACUGACGCUCAUGCACGAAAGUGUGGGUAUCGAACAGGAUUAGAUACCCCAGUAGUC